UUUCCGAGGUGAACCUGCGGAAGGAUCAUUG
RNAcentral lists this ribosomal RNA (31 nucleotides) under Boesenbergia siphonantha. RNAcentral describes it as "partial 18S ribosomal RNA". Lineage: Eukaryota; Viridiplantae; Streptophyta; Magnoliopsida; Zingiberales; Zingiberaceae. The record is from RNAcentral.